RNAcentral lists this long non-coding RNA (491 nucleotides) under Brassica napus (rape). Its description in RNAcentral is "long non-coding RNA (BNAP_LNC024022)". The record is from RNAcentral. Lineage: Eukaryota; Viridiplantae; Streptophyta; Magnoliopsida; Brassicales; Brassicaceae.
UUUAGUUCGAGGUCGAUGUUGUCGUGCUAGCAUACUUCAAGUGUUGACCGGAGUGGGUUGCGGUAUACAUCUUUCGAACUUUGUGGUUGGUGGGCGACUGAACUCGUGUUGUGAGUUGCCUAUGUACCCUCGACGAGGGAUCAAGUCAUAACGUAAUUCGAUUGUUUCCCCAAAGGUAGGGUCGUUAUUCUGUUGUUCGUGUAUGUGUGUACAUUUAUUCGGGUUUUAAGUGUCGAUUAGGGAUGUGACUCGAUAUAUUUAAAGCUUGUGAGGUAGCAAGUUCUGGAGCUUUUCUGACUUCCUUUGAUAGUUUCAAUCCCUUUUGGUGCUGGGAACUUCAGGCAUUGGUGAUAGGUUGAAGGAACUGCCUUCAAGCUGUACAGCCAAGGUCUUCCAAGGAUUGCGUUAAACAGGGCUGGAUGUUCUAUUACGAUGAACUCGACGAUUUUUCUGACUCCUCCGGCAGUCACGGCGAGCUCGAUUAACCCGAG